Molecule: ribosomal RNA, 394 nt
Filed under: uncultured bacterium
Lineage: Bacteria
Description: partial 16S ribosomal RNA
Rfam family: Bacterial small subunit ribosomal RNA
Source: RNAcentral
AUACGUAGGGGGCAAGCGUUAUCCGGAUUUACUGGGUGUAAAGGGAGUGUAGGUGGCCGUGCAAGUCAGAUGUGAAAUCCCGGGGCUCAACCCCGUGACUGCAUUUGAAACUGCGUGGCUGGAGUGCAGGAGAGGUAAGCGGAAUUCCUAGUGGAGCGGUGAAAUGCGUAGAUAUGAGGAGGAACACCGGUGGCGAAGGCGGCUUACUGGAUAGUAAAGGACGCGGAGGCUCGAAAGCGUGGGGAGCAAACAGGAUAAGAGACCCUGGUAGUCCAUGCCGUAAACGAUGAGCACUAGGUGUCGGGGAGACAAUCCUCGGUGCCGCAGUUAACGCAUUAAGUGCUCCGCCUGGGGAGUACGUUCGCAAGAAUAAAACUCAAAGGAAUUGGCGGGG